Molecule: transfer RNA, 78 nt
Filed under: Bigelowiella longifila
Lineage: Eukaryota; Cercozoa; Chlorarachniophyceae
Rfam family: tRNA
About the family: Transfer RNA (tRNA) molecules are approximately 80 nucleotides in length. Their secondary structure includes four short double-helical elements and three loops (D, anti-codon, and T loops). Further hydrogen bonds mediate the characteristic L-shaped molecular structure. tRNAs have two regions of fundamental functional importance: the anti-codon, which is responsible for specific mRNA codon recognition, and the 3' end, to which the tRNAs corresponding amino acid is attached (by aminoacyl-tRNA synthetases). tRNAs cope with the degeneracy of the genetic code in two manners: having more than one tRNA (with a specific anti-codon) for a particular amino acid; and 'wobble' base-pairing, i.e. permitting non-standard base-pairing at the 3rd anti-codon position.
Source: RNAcentral
AGUCUUGGCUGAGUGGUUAAAGCGUGUGCCUGCUAAGCAUAUAGAUGAUUAUCUGCGUGAGUUCGAAUCUCACAGACU